GUAGGUGAACCUGCGGAAGGAUCAUUGCAAGAAGGGGAUUAUUGUCUGGAUUUAUCCGGGGAAUAAUCUUAAAUUAGGUCGUCUGCGAGGGAAAGGUGUAUCGUCAUGGUCACUGCUCGCCCGCAGACAACAGCAGCGCGUGUGUGUGGCAGUCGAAAUACCGAAUUAUAUACAACUUUUAACAAUGGAUCUCUUGGCUCUU
RNAcentral lists this unclassified non-coding RNA (202 nucleotides) under rhizosphere metagenome. RNAcentral describes it as "partial ribosomal RNA internal transcribed spacer region". The record is from RNAcentral.